CCCGACGCCCCAACGUGGAAGGGUAAAUAUUGAAAAAAAACAACUUAGGAUUCCUGAUGCAAAUUUACAACACAGAAUAAUAUAUAACAGAGAGGUGGAAGGGUGUAAAAUGAAAUAAAGAAAAAUAAAGGAUUCCUGAUGUAAAAUCUCAGUCCUGUAAAGGAAACAAAAUUAAUCGCAUGCUCUUCUAAAGGAAAGAAUUGCACGGUACCAAAUCCUCGCCCCCGACGCCCUCGCACUCGCCCUCACCCGACGUCUCGCCCUCGCCCGACGUCUCGCCCUCGCCCGACGUCGCACCUCUUCCUCCAUCGUCCUCUCGCCCGACGUUGCACCUCUUCCUCCAUCGUCCUGGGUCCUCGUCGACGCCCUCGCCCCCGACGCCCGUAGGUCGACCUGCGUUGCCAGGUCAGGAGGCUCGCCCUCCGCCACCGACGACCGACGCCCUCGCCCUUCACCC
Molecule: long non-coding RNA, 457 nt
Filed under: Sorghum bicolor (sorghum)
Lineage: Eukaryota; Viridiplantae; Streptophyta; Magnoliopsida; Poales; Poaceae
Description: long non-coding RNA (SBIC_LNC013224)
Source: RNAcentral